Molecule: small nuclear RNA, 112 nt
Filed under: Aotus nancymaae (Ma's night monkey)
Lineage: Eukaryota; Metazoa; Chordata; Mammalia; Primates; Aotidae
Source: RNAcentral
GUGCUUGCUUCGGCAGCGCAUAUACUGAAAUUUCAAUGAUACAGAGAAGAUUAGCAUGGCCCCUACACAAGGAUGACAUACAGAUUCAUAAAGUGUUCCAUUAAAAAUUUUU